Molecule: ribosomal RNA, 369 nt
Filed under: uncultured Thermus sp.
Lineage: Bacteria; Thermotogati; Deinococcota; Deinococci; Thermales; Thermaceae
Description: bacterial SSU rRNA
Rfam family: Bacterial small subunit ribosomal RNA
Source: RNAcentral
UGCCCGCGAGGGAGCCCUAGCACAGGUGCUGCAUGGCCGUCGUCAGCUCGUGCCGUGAGGUGUUGGGUUAAGUCCCGCAACGAGCGCAACCCCCGCCGUUAGUUGCCAGCGGUUCGGCCGGGCACUCUAACGGGACUGCCCGCGAAAGCGGGAGGAAGGAGGGGACGACGUCUGGUCAGCAUGGCCCUUACGGCCUGGGCGACACACGUGCUACAAUGCCCACUACAAAGCGAUGCCACCCGGCAACGGGGAGCUAAUCGCAAAAAGGUGGGCCCAGUUCGGAUUGGGGUCUGCAACCCGACCCCAUGAAGCCGGAAUCGCUAGUAAUCGCGGAUCAGCCAUGCCGCGGUGAAUACGUUCCCGGGCCUU